RNAcentral lists this ribosomal RNA (443 nucleotides) under uncultured bacterium. RNAcentral's name for it is "partial 16S ribosomal RNA". It matches the Rfam family "Bacterial small subunit ribosomal RNA", at positions 338 to 795 of the family's 1533-position model. The record is from RNAcentral.
CCUACGGGAGGCAGCAGUGGGGAAUAUUGGACAAUGGGGGGAACCCUGAUCCAGCGACGCCGCGUGAGUGAAGAAGUAUUUCGGUAUGUAAAGCUCUAUCAGCAGGGGAGAAAGAAAUGACGGUACCUGACUACGAAGCCCCGGCUAACUACGUGCCAGCAGCCGCGGUAAUACGUAGGGGGCAAGCGUUAUCCGGAUUUACUGGGUGUAAAGGGAGCGUAGACGGCGAUGCAAGUCUGAAGUGAAAGGCGGGGGCCCAAACCCCGGACUGCUUUUGAAACUGUAUGGCUGGAGUGCAGGAGAGGUAAGCGGAAUGCCUAGUGUAGCGGUGAAAUGCGUAGAUAUUAGGAGGAACACCAGUGGCGAAGGCGGCUUACUGGACUGUAACUGACGUUGAGGCUCGAAAGCGUGGGGAGCAAACAGGAUUAGAUACCCCUGUAGUC